UGGGGAAUAUUGGACAAUGGGCGAAAGCCUGAUCCAGCCAUGCCGCGUGAGUGAAGAAGGCCCUAGGGUUGUAAAGCUCUUUCAGCGGGGACGAUAAUGACGGUACCCGCAGAAGAAGUCCCGGCUAACUUCGUGCCAGCAGCCGCGGUAAUACGAAGGGGACUAGCGUUGUUCGGAAUUACUGGGCGUAAAGCGCGCGUAGGCGGACGCUUAAGUCAGGGGUGAAAUGCCAGGGCUCAACCUUGGAAUUGCCUUUGAUACUGAGUGUCUGGAGUUCGGGAGAGGUGAGUGGAAUUCCGAGUGUAGAGGUGAAAUUCGUAGAUAUUCGGAGGAACACCAGAAGCGAAGGCGGCUCACUGGCCCGAUACUGACGCUGAGGCGCGAAAGCGUGGGGAGCAAACAGG
RNAcentral lists this ribosomal RNA (404 nucleotides) under Bacillota bacterium. RNAcentral describes it as "Firmicutes bacterium partial 16S ribosomal RNA". It matches the Rfam family "Bacterial small subunit ribosomal RNA", at positions 355 to 776 of the family's 1533-position model. The record is from RNAcentral. Lineage: Bacteria; Bacillati; Bacillota.